This 406-nucleotide ribosomal RNA is filed under the name uncultured bacterium. Its description in RNAcentral is "partial 16S ribosomal RNA". It matches the Rfam family "Bacterial small subunit ribosomal RNA", at positions 30 to 526 of the family's 1533-position model. The record is from RNAcentral.
AUUGAACGCUGGCGGCAGGCCUAACACAUGCAAGUCGAACGAGUGGCGGACGGGUGAGUAAUGUCUGGGAAACUGCCUGAUGGAGGGGGAUAACUACUGGAAACGGUAGCUAAUACCGCAUAACAUCAGAUGUGCCCAGAGUGGAUUAGCUAGUAGGUGGGGUAACGGCACACCUAGGCGACGAUCCCUACCUGGUCUGAGAGGAUGACCAGCCAAACUGGAACGGGGACACGGUCCAUAGUCCUACGGUGGGCAGCAGUGGGGAUGAUUGCACAAGGGGCGCAAGCCUGAUGCAGCCAUGCCGCGUGUGUGAAGAAGGCCUUCGGGUUGUAAAGCACUUUCAGCGGGGAGGCGUUACCCGCAGAAUAAGCACCGGCUAACUCCGUGCCAGCAGCCGCGGUAAUUC